Molecule: ribosomal RNA, 738 nt
Filed under: uncultured bacterium
Lineage: Bacteria
Description: bacterial SSU rRNA
Rfam family: Bacterial small subunit ribosomal RNA
Source: RNAcentral
GUGGCGGACGGGUGAGUAACGCGUGAGCAACCUGCCUUUCAGAGGGGGAUAACGUUUGGAAACGAACGCUAAUACCGCAUGAUAUUAUUGAGCUGCAUGGCUUGAUAAUCAAAGGAGUAAUCCGCUGAAAGAUGGGCUCGCGUCCGAUUAGGUAGUUGGCGGGGCAACGGCCCACCAAGCCGACGAUCGGUAGCCGGACUGAGAGGUUGAACGGCCACAUUGGGACUGAGACACGGCCCAGACUCCUACGGGAGGCAGCAGUGAGGGAUAUUGGUCAAUGGGGGAAACCCUGAACCAGCAACGCCGCGUGAGGGAAGACGGUUUUCGGAUUGUAAACCUCUGUCCUCUGUGAAGAUAAUGACGGUAGCAGAGGAGGAAGCUCCGGCUAACUACGUGCCAGCAGCCGCGGUAAUACGUAGGGAGCAAGCGUUGUCCGGAUUUACUGGGUGUAAAGGGUGCGUAGGCGGCUUUGCAAGUCAGAAGUGAAAUCCAUGGGCUUAACCCAUGAACUGCUUUUGAAACUGCAGAGCUUGAGUGGAGUAGAGGUAGGCGGAAUUCCCGGUGUAGCGGUGAAAUGCGUAGAGAUCGGGAGGAACACCAGUGGCGAAGGCGGCCUGCUGGGCUCUAACUGACGCUGAGGCACGAAAGCGUGGGUAGCAAACAGGAUUAGAUACCCUGGUAGUCCACGCUGUAAACGAUGAUUACUAGGUGUGGGUGGACUGACCCCAUCCGUGCCGG